This 468-nucleotide ribosomal RNA is filed under the name uncultured bacterium. RNAcentral's name for it is "partial 16S ribosomal RNA". It matches the Rfam family "Bacterial small subunit ribosomal RNA", at positions 28 to 507 of the family's 1533-position model. The record is from RNAcentral.
GACGAACGCUGGCCGCGUGCUUAACACAUGCAAGUCGAACGGAAAGGCCCUGCUUUUGUGGUGUUCUCGAGUGGCGAACGGGUGAGUAACACGUGAGUAACCUGCCCUUUACUUUGGUAUAACUUCAGGAAACUGUGGCUAAUACCGGAUAGGAUCUCCUGCUGCAUGGUGGUGGUUGGAAAGUUUCGGCGGUUGGGGAUGGACUCGCGGCUUAUCAGCUUGUUGGUGGGGUAGUGGCUUACCAAGGCUUUGACGGGUAGCCGGCCUGAGAGGGUGACCGGCAACAUGGGGACGGAGAGACGGAGCAGACUACAACGGGAGGCAGCAGUGGGGAAUAUUGAACAAGGGGAGGAAGCAUGAUGCAGAAACGCGGGGGGCGGGAUGACGGCCUUCGGGUAGAAAACAGAUUUCGAAGGUGAAGAAGAGGGAGUGACGGUAAUGGGUAAAGAAGCACCGGCUAACUACGUG